Molecule: ribosomal RNA, 1943 nt
Filed under: Salmonella enterica subsp. enterica serovar Typhimurium
Lineage: Bacteria; Pseudomonadati; Pseudomonadota; Gammaproteobacteria; Enterobacterales; Enterobacteriaceae
Description: partial 23S ribosomal RNA
Rfam family: Bacterial large subunit ribosomal RNA
Source: RNAcentral
GGGUUGUGAGGUUAAGCGACUAAGCGUACACGGUGGAUGCCCUGGCAGUCAGAGGCGAUGAAGGACGUGCUAAUCUGCGAUAAGCGCCGGUAAGGUGAUAUGAACCGUUAUAACCGGCGAUUUCCGAAUGGGGAAACCCAGUGUGAUUCGUCACACUAUCAUUAACUGAAUCCAUAGGUUAAUGAGGCGAACCGGGGGAACUGAAACAUCUAAGUACCCCGAGGAAAAGAAAUCAACCGAGAUUCCCCCAGUAGCGGCGAGCGAACGGGGAGGAGCCCAGAGCCUGAAUCAGCAUGUGUGUUAGUGGAAGCGUCUGGAAAGGCGCGCGAUACAGGGUGACAGCCCCGUACACAAAAGCGCAUGUGCUGUGAGCUCGAUGAGUAGGGCGGGACACGUGGUAUCCUGUCUGAAUAUGGGGGGACCAUCCUCCAAGGCUAAAUACUCCUGACUGACCGAUAGUGAACCAGUACCGUGAGGGAAAGGCGAAAAGAACCCCGGCGAGGGGAGUGAAAAAGAACCUGAAACCGUGUACGUACAAGCAGUGGGAGCACCCUUCGGGGUGUGACUGCGUACCUUUUGUAUAAUGGGUCAGCGACUUAUAUUCUGUAGCAAGGUUAACCGUAUAGGGGAGCCGGAGGGAAACCGAGUCUUAACCGGGCGUUAAGUUGCAGGGUAUAGACCCGAAACCCGGUGAUCUAGCCAUGGGCAGGUUGAAGGUUGGGUAACACUAACUGGAGGACCGAACCGACUAAUGUUGAAAAAUUAGCGGAUGACCUGUGGCUGGGGGUGAAAGGCCAAUCAAACCGGGAGAUAGCUGGUUCUCCCCGAAAGCUAUUUAGGUAGCGCCUCGUGAAUUCAUCUCCGGGGGUAGAGCACUGUUUCGGCUAGGGGGCCAUCCCGGCUUACCAACCCGAUGCAAACUGCGAAUACCGGAGAAUGUUAUCACGGGAGACACACGGCGGGUGCUAACGUCCGUCGUGAAGAGGGAAACAACCCAGACCGCCAGCUAAGGUCCCAAAGUCAUGGUUAAGUGGGAAACGAUGUGGGAAGGCCCAGACAGCCAGGAUGUUGGCUUAGAAGCAGCCAUCAUUUAAAGAAAGCGUAAUAGCUCACUGGUCGAGUCGGCCUGCGCGGAAGAUGUAACGGGGCUAAACCAUGCACCGAAGCUGCGGCAGCGAACGUAUCACCCAAGACAACUUUACGGAGUUGACGAUUGACGGAGCGAAGCGACGUCAAAGCGUUCAUUAAAGUCGAGUUGGCUUAGGGAUACGUUCGUUGGGUAGGGGAGCGUUCUGUAAGCCUGUGAAGGUGUGUCGUGAGGCAUGCUGGAGGUAUCAGAAGUGCGAAUGCUGACAUAAGUAACGAUAAAGCGGGUGAAAAGCCCGCUCGCCGGAAGACCAAGGGUUCCUGUCCAACGUUAAUCGGGGCAGGGUGAGUCGACCCCUAAGGCGAGGCCGAAAGGCGUAGUCGAUGGGAAACGGGUUAAUAUUCCCGUACUUGGUGUUACUGCGAAGGGGGGACGGAGAAGGCUAUGUUGGCCGGGCGACGGUUGUCCCGGUUUAAGCGUGUAGGUGUGUGUUCCAGGUAAAUCCGGUUCACUUUAACACUGAGGCGUGACGACGAGGCACUACGGUGCUGAAGCAACAAAUGCCCUGCUUCCAGGAAAAGCCUCUAAGCAUCAGGUAACACGAAAUCGUACCCCAAACCGACACAGGUGGUCAGGUAGAGAAUACCAAGGCGCUUGAGAGAACUCGGGUGAAGGAACUAGGCAAAAUGGUGCCGUAACUUCGGGAGAAGGCACGCUGACACGUAGGUGAAGUGAUUUACUCAUGGAGCUGAAGUCAGUCGAAGAUACCAGCUGGCUGCAACUGUUUAUUAAAAACACAGCACUGUGCAAACACGAAAGUGGACGUAUACGGUGUGACGCCUGCCCGGUGCCGGAA